UGGGGAAUCUUAGACAAUGGGCGCAAGCCUGAUCUAGCCAUGCCGCGUGAUCGAUGAAGGCCUUAGGGUUGUAAAGAUCUUUCAGAUGGGAAGAUAAUGACGGUACCAUCAGAAGAAGCCCCGGCUAACUCCGUGCCAGCAGCCGCGGUAAUACGGAGGGGGCUAGCGUUAUUCGGAAUUACUGGGCGUAAAGCGCACGUAGGCGGACUGGAAAGUCAGAGGUGAAAUCCCAGGGCUCAACCUUGGAACUGCCUUUGAAACUCUCAGUCUUGAGGUCGAGAGAGGUGAGUGGAAUUCCGAGUGUAGAGGUGAAAUUCGUAGAUAUUCGGAGGAACACCAGUGGCGAAGGCGGCUCACUGGCUCGAUACUGACGCUGAGGUGCGAAAGCGUGGGGAGCAAACA
RNAcentral lists this ribosomal RNA (402 nucleotides) under uncultured Paracoccaceae bacterium. RNAcentral's name for it is "bacterial SSU rRNA". It matches the Rfam family "Bacterial small subunit ribosomal RNA", at positions 355 to 774 of the family's 1533-position model. The record is from RNAcentral. Lineage: Bacteria; Pseudomonadati; Pseudomonadota; Alphaproteobacteria; Rhodobacterales; Paracoccaceae.